Molecule: ribosomal RNA, 374 nt
Filed under: uncultured eukaryote
Lineage: Eukaryota
Description: partial 18S ribosomal RNA
Rfam family: Eukaryotic small subunit ribosomal RNA
Source: RNAcentral
UAAUAGUGUAUAUUAAAGUUGUUGCAGUUAAAAAGCUCGUAGUUGAAUGUUGGUGUCGAACGAGCGGUCAGCUUCGGCUGUACUGCUCUCUCGACUCCUUCCUUCUGUGGACUACGUCGCACUUUACUGUGUGGCGCUAGGACGCAGAUCGUUUACUGUGAAAAAAUUAGAGUGUUCAAAGCAGGCCGUACGCUUGAAUACAUUAGCAUGGAAUAAUGGAAUAGGACGUCGGGCCUAUUUUGUUGGUUCUAGGACCGUCGUAAUGAUUAAUAGGGUCAGUUGGGGCCGUUUAUAUUCCGUAGUCAGAGGUGAAAUUCUUGGAUUUACGGAAGAUAAACUACUGCGAAAGCAUUCGGCAAGGAUGUUUUCGUUAA